CCCGAUCCCAUUCCGAACUCGGUCGUCAAGCUCUUUAGCGCCGAUGAUACUGCCCUCUGUGGUGGGAAAGUAGGUCGUUGCUGGGU
Molecule: ribosomal RNA, 86 nt
Filed under: Deltaproteobacteria bacterium
Lineage: Bacteria; Pseudomonadati; Myxococcota; Myxococcia
Source: RNAcentral